AGGCAUCCUCAACAGGAUAACUUCCUGCAGCAACACAUUUCACUGAGUGGCAAAGGCCAGGUCGCCCAGCAAGCCACUGGGGAGGAAGGCAGGACAUGUGUGGCCCCAGAGCCUCAGUCUGUGACCUGGAGAACAGCCAAUUUGGUUUUAGGGAAUCAGGUUGUCCUGUUGUCUGGGCCACAUCAGGCCUGGCCAGCCAGAGAUCCAAAACAAACCUGAUGCCGCUCACAGCUCAGCGGCCUGAGGUCAUUCACUCACUAUUCCUUUAGGAAACAAAUGCCAGCAAGUGGUGUAAGAAUACCAAUGCCAUUGCAGGCUCUGCCAACAGACUCAACACUUCCAUGUAACCAGCUCCCAGAUCAAGAAACAGAACCUUCCAGGAGCCUCCUGGUGUCCCCUUAAUCACUACCCCUCCUCCCAAGAUCUAGGCACAGAGGUCACUCUGAGCUUCCAUUUGGACAGCUGCCUGUUCGUGGGAAGAUCACCAAGCUCUUAACCCAGGAAGGGAUGCUGUGCUGCAUAUUGGCGUUGUUGUGAGGUCAAGAGAGAUUUCAUCCCUGCUGUCCUUCCUCAGAUGGGUCAUUAUGUCUGGAUUCAGGAAGAGAAUAUGCAAAUGUUGAGUCUGUGCCUCUUAACAAACUCAUCCUGCAUGAAAAAUCAUUAUUUACUUCA
RNAcentral lists this long non-coding RNA (672 nucleotides) under Homo sapiens (human). RNAcentral's name for it is "novel transcript". Lineage: Eukaryota; Metazoa; Chordata; Mammalia; Primates; Hominidae. The record is from RNAcentral.